GCCAUGGAAAUGAAUUCUAGAUGAUCCGAAGUUCUUUGAUUUUCAAGUUGUAUAAUCCCCAUUUCUAUACAUAGAAGCAUUCUAUCAGCACUAGGAUUCUCUCUUGUUUUCAAAGCUUAAACUCUGUCGAACAGUGAUUGUUGAGAUGAUUCUUCAGUUGUCUUCGAUGGUGCAAGUGUGACUGCAACAAUAAUUUGAAAAACUUUGGACUAAAGAUCCGGGUACUCUUUUCUUGACACAGUCAAUUUCUUGUUUUUCUGGUGCUUGGGCUUGGAAGUAGAAUGUUGUAAUCUGCUGGACUCUUCAUCAUCGAGCACCAUAACAAAUUCUUCAGAGGGGUGGGGUUAUUGAACUUUGUCAUUAUUGUCAUCAUCUAACCAGAAGAGAGGUUUAGAGCUAAUUUUGAUCGUUGUUUCUACUUCAUUGGAGUCAUGUUCUUCUAUGUUGGUGGGAGGAGGCUUUGAUGCACCGACAUUUUUUUCCAUAGCUUGAACCCUUUGAACUGUGUUUUCCAUGUCAGACAUCCAUUUUUGAAUUAUGAGGAUGUCAUGCACAGUUUUGGCAUUAUUGAAGGCAGUGGCCUAGUAUAUGGCAACAUGAAGAAUAAAUUUUUCGUUUUGUUGUU
This 625-nucleotide long non-coding RNA is filed under the name Lactuca sativa (garden lettuce). RNAcentral describes it as "long non-coding RNA (LSAT_LNC005068)". The record is from RNAcentral. Lineage: Eukaryota; Viridiplantae; Streptophyta; Magnoliopsida; Asterales; Asteraceae.